AGCUCGGGGAAACUCGAAUUAAUACCGCAUACACCCUUCGGGGGAAAGGGGGCCUCUCCUUGGAAGCUCUCGCUGUUAGAUGAGCCUGCGUGAGAUUAGCUUGUUGGUAAGGUAAUGGCUUACCAAGGCUACGAUCUCUAGCUGGUCUGAGAGGACGAUCAGCCACACUGGGACUGAGACACGGCCCAGACUCCUACGGGAGGCAGCAGUAGGGAAUAUUGGACAAUGGGGGCAACCCUGAUCCAGGCAUGCCGCGUGUGUGAAGAAGGCCUUAGGGUUGUAAAGCACUUUAAGUGAGGAAGAAAAGAUUUAAAUUAAUACUUUAAGUCCCUGACAUUAUUCACAGAAUAAGGACCGGCUAACUCCGUGCCAGCAGCCGCGGUAAUACGGAGGGUCCAAGCGUUAAUCGGAAUUACUGGGCGUAAAGCGCGCGUAGAUGGUUUAUUCAGUUGGGUGUGAAAUCCCUGGGCUCAACCUAGGAACUGCAUUCAAAACUUAUAAACUAGAGUACGAAAGAGGAGAGUAGAAUUCAUGGUGUAGCGGUGAAAUGCGUAGAGAUCAUGAGGAAUACCAGUGGCGAAGGCGACUCUCUGGUUCGAGACUGACAUUGAGGUGCGAAAGCGUGGGUAGCAAACAGGAUUAGAUACCCUGGUAGUCCACGCCGUAAACGAUGAGAACUAGCCGUUGGAUCUUUAGAUUCAGUGGCGCAGCUAACGCAUUAAGUUCUCCGCCUGGGGAGUACGGCCGCAAGGCUAAAACUCAAAUGAAUUGACGGGGGCCCGCACAAGCGGUGGAGCAUGUGGUUUAAUUCGAUGCAACGCGAAAAACCUUACCAACCCUUGACAUCCAGUGGAAGUUUUAGAGAUAAAACUGUGCCUUUGGGAACACUGUGACAGUGUUGCAUGGCUGUCGUCAGCUCGUGUCGUGAGAUGUAUGGUUAAGUCCAGUAACGAGCGCAACCCUUAUCCUU
RNAcentral lists this ribosomal RNA (970 nucleotides) under marine metagenome. RNAcentral's name for it is "bacterial SSU rRNA". It matches the Rfam family "Bacterial small subunit ribosomal RNA", at positions 145 to 1112 of the family's 1533-position model. The record is from RNAcentral.